This 30-nucleotide non-coding RNA is filed under the name Homo sapiens (human). The record is from RNAcentral. Lineage: Eukaryota; Metazoa; Chordata; Mammalia; Primates; Hominidae.
GAGGUGUUUGGAGUUGCACUUGUAUAGCUC